GAAAUGCGAUAAGUAGUGUGAAUUGCAGAAUUCAGUGAAUCAUCGAAUCUUUGAACGCACAUUGCGCCCUAUGGUAUUCCGUAGGGCAUGCCUGUUCGAGCGUCAUUUACACCUUCAAGCCUUGCUUGGUGUUGGGUGACUGUGGCCCCUUUGGGGCCACUCGCCUUAAAGUCAUUGGCGGCCGGUUCGUUGGCUUUGUAGCGCAGCACAAUUGCGUCCUCGAAGCCGCUGGACCAGCUCCCAGAAGCUAAUUUUAAAUGUUUGACCUCGAAUCAGGUAGUGAUACCCGCUGAACUUAAGC
Molecule: unclassified non-coding RNA, 301 nt
Filed under: plant metagenome
Description: partial contains 5.8S ribosomal RNA, internal transcribed spacer 2, and large subunit ribosomal RNA
Rfam family: 5.8S ribosomal RNA (bases 1-105)
Source: RNAcentral